Long non-coding RNA from Helianthus annuus (common sunflower), 518 nucleotides. RefSeq lists it as uncharacterized. NCBI's taxonomy places the organism in Eukaryota, Viridiplantae, Streptophyta, Magnoliopsida, Asterales, Asteraceae. The record is from RefSeq and is a predicted model, not a curated record. The transcript has 3 exons.
UACAAAAUGGUACCAAACCCUACCCAUCCAAAAUAAAGCUCACCAGCCGACACCCUUUUCUUCCUCCCUCUAGGUUCCACUGUGCAACACAAAAAAAAAGAAGAAGAGUUUUCAACUCUCUCUCCCUCAUCUGAAUACAGCCGGCUCCAGCAACCGGAGCCAACUCCGGCGACGAAACAAACAGCGGUGGUUGUUCCAGCCGCGACAUCCCCAAACACCUCACCCACUCCCCCCGACCUACGCGAUUUCGACACCACCCUCCGACAAAGAUUUGCGGCGGUGGCGAAGCUGGUUUCUCAUGACAGUGGUGGGUUCAGUUUGGUGCGAGUUCGGGACUCCGGUCAACUUUUGCGACACGAUCGGUUCGGGUCAGAUUUCAUGUUCAGGGUAAUCGUUCGUUCUCUUGGUUUUCCCAAUCUCUACUCAUGCGUUAAUUCAAGAAAUUCUCAUACGCAACCAAUGUUGAUGAUGAUGAUGCUAUGAAAUGAAGUAGCGUUGAUGCCUAGAUACACAUAUAU